Molecule: ribosomal RNA, 650 nt
Filed under: uncultured bacterium
Lineage: Bacteria
Description: bacterial SSU rRNA
Rfam family: Bacterial small subunit ribosomal RNA
Source: RNAcentral
ACGUGGCGGCGUGCUUAACACAUGCAAGUCGAACGAUGAAGCCUUUCGGGGUGGAUUAGUGGCGAACGGGUGAGUAACACGUGGGCAAUCUGCCCUGCACUCUGGGACAAGCCCUGGAAACGGGGUCUAAUACCGGAUAAUACCUGUCGGGGCAUCUCGACGGGUUCAAAGCUCCGGCGGUGCAGGAUGAGCCCGCGGCCUAUCAGCUUGUUGGUGAGGUAGUGGCUCACCAAGGCGACGACGGGUAGCCGGCCUGAGAGGGCGACCGGCCACACUGGGACUGAGACACGGCCCAGACUCCUACGGGAGGCAGCAGUGGGGAAUAUUGCACAAUGGGCGCAAGCCUGAUGCAGCGACGCCGCGUGAGGGAUGACGGCCUUCGGGUUGUAAACCUCUUUCAGCAGGGAAGAAGCGCAAGUGACGGUACCUGCAGAAGAAGCGCCGGCUAACUACGUGCCAGCAGCCGCGGUAUACGUAAGGCGCAAGCGUUGUCCGGAAUUAUUGGGCGUAAAGAGCUUCGUAGGCGGUCUUGUCGCGUCGGAUGUGAAAAGCCCCGGGGGCUUUAACCCCGGGUUCUUGCAUUUCGAAUUACCGGGCAGACUUAGAGUUGUGGUUAAGGGGGAAGAAUCCGGAAUUUCCUGGGUGUAGCC